UGGGGAAUAUUGCACAAUGGGCGCAAGCCUGAUGCAGCCAUGCCGCGUGUAUGAAGAAGGCCUUCGGGUUGUAAAGUACUUUCAGCGGGGAGGAAGGGAGUAAAGUUAAUACCUUUGCUCAUUGACGUUACCCGCAGAAGAAGCACCGGCUAACUCCGUGCCAGCAGCCGCGGUAAUACGGAGGGUGCAGGCGUUAAUCGGAAUUACUGGGCGUAAAGCGCACGCAGGCGGUUGAUUGAGUCAGAUGUGAAAUCCCCGGGCUUAACCCGGGAAUUGCAUCUGAUACUGGUCAGCUAGAGUCUUGUAGAGGGGGGUAGAAUUCCAUGUGUAGCGGUGAAAUGCGUAGAGAUGUGGAGGAAUACCGGUGGCGAAGGCGGCCCCCUGGACGAAGACUGACGCUCAGGUGCGAAAGCGUGGGGAGCAAACAGG
This 429-nucleotide ribosomal RNA is filed under the name Chloroflexota bacterium. RNAcentral describes it as "Chloroflexi bacterium partial 16S ribosomal RNA". It matches the Rfam family "Bacterial small subunit ribosomal RNA", at positions 355 to 776 of the family's 1533-position model. Lineage: Bacteria; Bacillati; Chloroflexota. The record is from RNAcentral.